GGAUCGCGAUUUAUUGUUAUUUCCUUAGGGAAGCUUCUAGAUUCGCCGAUCUAUGCUCACUUGUUAUGGAUAUUCAACAUGCACAAUAGUUCUCAACUUGUGGCUUGUUUCUCAAUCAGCAAUGGAAGUUCACUGCAUCUUCAUCUUCUCCGAUAAUUAACAAUUAACUAAUUAACAACAAAAGCAGAUUAUUAGUUGUGAUGAUUAUGAUUAUGUACUUGCCACUUGCCAGCAACAAUGGUAACGGAUCUGUUUUUUGUUUUUCUUGAUCUGUUCUAAUGUAUUGAUUUUUAUUCAGUUCAAACCUGAGGAAAUAACUGCCAUCAAUAAUGACUUUAAUGAGCCUGGAUCACUUGCUCCAACUGGAUUGUAUAUCGGUGGCACCAAAUACAUGGUCAUCCAGGGUGAGCCUGGUGCUGUCAUUCGAGGGAAGAAGGUAACCACUGUUUCUGAUCUUUGCUUGAAUUCUGAUCAUGGAUUUGCAGAUUGUGUAGUGUUGUGUGUCAUAGUACGUGUGUUUUGGUGGGCAUUUGCAUAGUUGAUUCUGAAAUGAUAUGAUAUAUAUUUGGAUGAUUUUAUUCAGUAGUAAAACUCAGUAUAAAUUUUUUGAUCUAAUGCAAACUGGUUCUGAAUCCAAAAUCAAUAACUCAACAUGGAACUAAACAUGUGAACAUUUAUCUAAAACUACGAAAGUUGGUAUUUGAAUGUCAUAUUGGAUCAUCAAUGUGAAUCCAAAUAUGUGAUAUUACUAACUGAUAUACUCAUGUGAUGAUACAGUAUCUGUGAAGAUAUGCAUUUCAAAUUAUUAUUAGUUUUAGAAUCACGCAAUAAAGCAUUGUCUGUGCUACAAUCUAUUGAAAAAAAUUACAGCCCUUUUUUUGGGGUUGAUGUCAAGGGCAACAUGAACUUGGGGUGGAGAUUGCAGGUAUACUGCAGUAAUUUAAUUAUGCACCUUUGCACAUUUUGGAAUCCAUCCAUCAUCCAUGUGUUUGUGGAUUGCGUAGCAAAUGCAAAUAUACAUAGACGACACCUUUGUGCAGAGUAAUUAUUGUAUGCAUCUUCUCAAGUCUCAACAAUUAAAUACCGGGGUUGUCUUGGGUAAAUUGUUACCUUCAAUUUUAAUCUUAAUUAAUAAUUCCUUUCAAAUUCUUUGAUUCAAUGGUAAAGCUGAACAUAUAACAGUUGUGUUUCUUGCACAGUAUCUAAGUGCAUAUUUUGACCAUUAUGGUUGUAAUAUCAGUCUUUAUCUUUAUUAUCCAGGGUCCUGGUGGUGUUACUGUGAAGAAGACCGGUGCGGCCUUGAUCAUUGGCAUUUAUGAUGAACCAAUGACUCCAGGUCAAUGCAACAUGGUAGUUGAAAGGCUUGGCGAUUAUCUCAUUGAUCAGGGUCUCUAAUCUUUGCUUUAUGUCUUGUUAUCGUGCAUAUUUCAUUGGCUUCUGUACAAGUUUUUGCAUCGACCUGGACUGGAAUGCUUUGAUUGCAGUGUAAUAAUCUUGUGAGUAUGAAAAGUCACGGGAUCUGCGUGUAGUGAAGAAAGUGUUUGAUGCUUGAGAAAUGAUGACUAUAAUCUCUAUCUUUGUACUUUUUUAGUGGGGUACCUGUAUACAU
This 1609-nucleotide long non-coding RNA is filed under the name Glycine max (soybean). RNAcentral describes it as "long non-coding RNA (GMAX_LNC001639)". Lineage: Eukaryota; Viridiplantae; Streptophyta; Magnoliopsida; Fabales; Fabaceae. The record is from RNAcentral.